GACGAACGCUGGCGGCGUGCUUAACACAUGCAAGUCGAGCGAACAGGCGCUGCUUUUGUGGGGUGCUCGAGAGGCGCACGGGUGAGUGUAACGUGAGUAACCUGUACUUGACUUUGGGAUAAAUCCUGGAAAAUGGGGCUAAUACAGGGUAGAAGAUCCUGAUGCAUAGGGGGGAUUGGAAAAUUACGGCUGUUGGGGCUGGACUCGAGGGUUAUCCGCUGGUUGGUGGGGUAGUGACGGACAAAGCCUAUGACGGCUAGCCGGCAUGAGAGGGUGACCGGCCACAUUAGGACUAAGAUACGGACCAGACGCCUACGUGACGCAGCAGGGGGGAAUAUUGCACAAUGGGGGGAAGCCAGAGGCAGCAACGCCGCGUGCGUGAUGACGGCCUUCGGGGUAUAAACCGCUUUCGCCUGAGACGAAGCGUGAGUGACGGUAAUUGGUAAAGAAGCAACGGCUAACUACGUG
RNAcentral lists this ribosomal RNA (468 nucleotides) under uncultured bacterium. RNAcentral's name for it is "partial 16S ribosomal RNA". It matches the Rfam family "Bacterial small subunit ribosomal RNA", at positions 28 to 507 of the family's 1533-position model. The record is from RNAcentral.